RNAcentral lists this ribosomal RNA (253 nucleotides) under uncultured bacterium. RNAcentral describes it as "partial 16S ribosomal RNA". It matches the Rfam family "Bacterial small subunit ribosomal RNA", at positions 524 to 776 of the family's 1533-position model. The record is from RNAcentral.
CACAGAGGGGGCCAGCGUUAUUCGGAAUUAUUGGGCGUAAAGGGCGCGUAGGCGGCUUUGCGUGUCUUUCGUGAAAUCCCUCGGCUCAACUGAGGACGUGCGGAAGAAACUGCAGGGCUGGAGUCCGGGAGAGGAGGGUGGAAUUCCCAGUGUAGCGGUGAAAUGCGUAGAUAUUGGGAGGAACACCGGUGGCGAAGGCGGCCCUCUGGACCGGUACUGACGCUGAUGCGCGAAAGCGUGGGGAGCAAACGGG